GUAGGGAAUAUUGGACAAUGGGCGAAAGCCUGAUCCAGCCAUGCCGCGUGAUAGAUGAAGGCCCUCUGGGUUGUAAAUAUCUUUUAUCUGGGAAGAAACUCCUCUAUUCUUAGAGGCCUGACGGUACCAGAGGAAUAAGCACCGGCUAACUCCGUGCCAGCAGCCGCGGUAAUACGGAGGGUGCAAGCGUUAUCCGGAUUCACUGGGUUUAAAGGGUGCGUAGGCGGGUUGAUAAGUCAGUGGUGAAAGCUCCGGGCUUAACUUGGAAACUGCCAUUGAUACUGUCAAUCUUGAAUGUCGUAGAGGUAAGCGGAAUGUUGCAUGUAGCGGUGAAAUGCUUAGAUAUGUUACAGAACACCAAUUGCGAAGGCAGCUUACUAUGCGAUAAUUGACGCUGAGGCACGAAAGCGUGGGGAGCAAACAGGAUUAGAUACCCUAGUAGUCC
RNAcentral lists this ribosomal RNA (445 nucleotides) under uncultured bacterium. Its description in RNAcentral is "partial 16S ribosomal RNA". It matches the Rfam family "Bacterial small subunit ribosomal RNA", at positions 354 to 796 of the family's 1533-position model. The record is from RNAcentral.